AUACGUAGGGUGCGAGCGUUAAUGGGAAUUACUGGGCGUAAAGCGUGCGCAGGCGGUUUUGUAAGUCAGAUGUGAAAUCCCCGGGCUUAGCCUGGGAACUGCGUUUGAAACUGCAAGGCUAGAGUGUGGCAGAGGGGGGUGGAAUUCCGCGUGUAGCAGUGAAAUGCGUAGAGAUGUGGAGGAACACCGAUGGCGAAGGCAGCCCCCUGGGUCAACACUGACGCUCAGGCACGAAAGCAUGGGGAGCAAACAGGAUUAGAAACCCCGGUAGUCC
RNAcentral lists this ribosomal RNA (274 nucleotides) under uncultured bacterium. RNAcentral describes it as "partial 16S ribosomal RNA". It matches the Rfam family "Bacterial small subunit ribosomal RNA", at positions 523 to 796 of the family's 1533-position model. The record is from RNAcentral.